RNAcentral lists this long non-coding RNA (235 nucleotides) under Oryza brachyantha (malo sina). RNAcentral describes it as "long non-coding RNA (OBRA_LNC003181)". Lineage: Eukaryota; Viridiplantae; Streptophyta; Magnoliopsida; Poales; Poaceae. The record is from RNAcentral.
UAAGCAAAAUAAACAACACAUCCUACCUCCCACAGUCACACUGUAGUCACACUUGGCAACAGUGAGUUUUUUGGACCUGCACACGCUAUACAAGAUGGUUUUGGUACAAACUGAGACCGAUGGGAAUAAGACAGUAAAUAUGAUUUUGUAAUUGUACAUUAGUUUUGAUAGACAGUUCUGUGGGCUUUUCAUGUACAGAAAAUAAAUGGCGAACCUAACUGUGUUUGGAUUAAGG